CAGAAGUGACUUGUUUGGUCUCUGAUUCUUGCACUCAGGCACAAGACAACCUGACAUUUCAGGAGAUGGUCUGUCAGAAUUGGAUCUCUGAGUGGGGUGGCUCUUGAUAGGGAUCCCUGUUAACUGUGACUAGAAUCCUGAGAAGAGAAAAACCUUCCUGAAAUGGGCAUAUCCCUGGCUGGCCUGGAACCAACCUUUCGGACUUAGGACUAUGGGAAGAAUAGGGGGAGAUUCUCUAGUGAUGAUAAUACAUGAAUGCUUUAAAAGCUAGAACAGGCGUCCCUGGGUGGUCUUGAACUACUCACCGUUCGGUUAAUAGCCGAACGCUCUGACCGAUUGCGCCACAGAGACAGGUACUAGCGAUUCCACUGGGCGCUAUAGGCAGGGCGCACUCACCGAACUCCCCAAUCCCUUCCAGCCUCAGAGCCCGCCUGGCAGGACUACUGAGCAAGGCCUUGGAAAAUCGGAGCGAUUAGAGCGAAGUGCUUCGGUCAGGCAGUAUCUUUGAAAAUAAUUUGGCCAAUGAAAGCCCUGGCAUUGGAUGAAAGUGCUAGCUGCUGGGAAUGCUACCCCUCCUUUUGGUUCUCUUUCAAGUCCUUCAGGUUCAAACAAUACAGAAGUGUAUAAAGUAAGAAUUGAAAGUCUCUUCGCUGCUCUAAUCUCACUCCUCAGAGGUGAUCACUGAUUAUCAUCCCAGAGCCCUCCCUGAAGCCCACACACAGCUUCUUCAGGAAAUGCUGACAGCAUGGACCUGAGUGAGCAGAAGGCUUUUCAGAAUUACAGCCUGAACUAUUUCUUGAGCAAUUUGGGAACUCAUUUCUAAAGCAGUCCUCAGAUUCACACAACGUAGUUUGUGACGGAGUAUGCCCAGAGCAGUGUUAUCACCAGUGCUUUCAGUAACUGCAUACUUAUAAAACAGCCAAACUUCAACCUGUGUUCAGUUUUUAUCUGUUUCUUGGGAAUGUAAUUUGGACAAAAAAGUUACCAAUGUAUUUACAACCAAAUUUCAGAUCUUCAACAUUACAGAGGCUGUCUUGUUGAUGGGGGUGCACCCUGACGAAUGGUGUGCUGGCAAAGAUUUAACAAAAGGCUCCAGAGGAGGGCAGACUUGAAGUGGAGCCUUCAGUGGGCAGUGUGAAGGGUGCUGAUUUCAAACAACUCAUCUGGUAUGACUGAACAUGAAGUUGGGAAGAGAUGUGCAUAAUUGAAGUGGGUGAGAGCCAGUCCAGCACCCUGCAGAGAGUGUGGAAGAUGAUCAAAGUAUGACAUUUCUUCUACCCCAGAGGCUGGCAUUUCUGCAGGCACAAAUGAGCUUGGUUUUCAAGCACUGCUCUUUGAACACAAGGAAUUCCUUUAAUGAUCACGCCGGACUAUAUAGACUUUGGAAUCAGACUCUUUGAAUUCCAGCUCUGCCAUUUACCAACUUUGACACUUUGGACAACGUCUCAUUCUGUCACCCAGGCUGGAGUGCAGUGGCACAAUUAUAGCUCACUGCAGCCUCAAACACCUGGGCUCAAGCAAUCCUUCCACCUCUGCCUCCUGAGUAAUUGGGACUACAGGGUUUUGGAAAUCUGGAUUGUAGCAGGGCAUUGUAAGUUAAAAAAUCAUCUUCCCAUUCUGUUCUUUGCAAAGAUAUUUCUGUUCCUUAAAUUUGUUGAGGGUAAGAGAUUGCAGAUUGCUUCUGUGGACUUCUUGAAGGUGGAUCUGCCUGUUGGUGGAGAACCCUAGACUGCAUGCAGCCAUGCACAUGAUCUGGAGACACAGCAGGUCAUCCUCAGCAUUUAUACUCUCUCUCCUUUUGUGCCCCCAUGGACCAAGUUAAGAAGGUGUAGGCUUCAAAUCUUAAGAUCGGUCACCACAAAAUUCAAAAAGACAAGGUCUUUGUCUGUUGCUCAGGAUGGAGUGUAGUGGUGCCAUAGCACACUGUAAUCUUGAAUUUCUGGACUACUGGCAUACACCACCAUGCUUAGGUUCGGGCCACAACAUCCGUGACUUUACCGGUUUUGGUCUCUUCCUUGUAACUUUCGGCUCCAGGAUGCUGCGCAGCUCCUCUCUGCACUAUCUAUCAGAACGUUGCUCUGCGUGCUUGAAAGUUUCGCCAAACAGAAGUACACAAAAACAAACAGAGGCGAAACACAAAUCCCCUCAGCCCUGGAGGAAAAGGCCUUGAAGCUCUUCCAGUGCAGAGGCCACGCAGAGGACAUGCUCCUACCUGUGCACAUCGGCCACGCCUGGGGUGCCUCCUGGAGUCCAGGCUGCUGGCGAUGGAAUCCAUCAUGUUGCUGAUGUCACUACUCUCAACUCCUGAUGGCAUCAGAACACAGGCAGCAUCAAGAUCAGGCUCAAGAUGCAGGAUUUUAUCAUCCAAAUCAGGCCCACAUAUGGAUGAAACCCUUCAGGUAUUCUGCACAUCUCUCAGGAAACCCAGAUGAAAUUGAGUGCCUGCUGCCCACAUCAGCAACCCAGACAUCCCACUUGAUUCUGCUUCUGGAGCCUAAGAUGGGAAAAUGGCAGGUGUCGCAGGUUGCAGGGGAAGGUCGGAGACCAGUUGAGGGCCCCGGAGUCUGUCUGGAAAGAGUUUUCCAUCCAGCCCGUCUCGGUUUCCGCAUCCGUGUGAGUCCUUUAUGACGUCGGGAAUGCCAAGGUCUGAGUCCUUUAUGAUGUUCAGGGUGCCCCGGUCUCACCCCGGGAGCCUCCUCGCUCCGGCCUGCUCCUGGCUACCCGGUGGGCGGCUCUGGCCCCAGCGACCCGCUACUGUUUCUCCAUGCGCUGCCACUUCGCAAAGGCACAUCUCUAGGUCAGUGGUCAGCUGCAGCCAGGGCGCUGCAACUCGCUCCAGGACUCGGGAAUCAGGGCCUUGGUGGGCCUCGCAGAGUGCUGGGUGUGUCGCCUGCGGGCUCCUCUUUUGGAGAAAGGAGGGAGGGAAAGGCCUUGUGAGACGACUCCAGGAGCGACCAGCGACCCCCACAAGGCCCAAGUCCUCCCAGCGCACUCAGAAACAGUCACUUAAAUGGCAAUAAGGUUGAGAAAGACUCUCCCGUGCCCCCGUGCUGGUGUAGUGGCUGUGAUUCAGUCCUUUCACCACCGCAUCCCGGGUUCGAUUACCGGUCAGGGAGUUGUUUUGCACUGACUGCCCACCCGCAGUAAUCUUUCUUUACUCCGCUGUCAGCCGGCCUGCUCCAAGAGCCAGAGGCAGAAGAGUCUCCCUGCAAGGUGCAAACCCUGGCGAAGGAGGGCAAGUCCUGGUGGACGGCCUCUCAUGACACACCCUCUUAUUUAUCUCCGUGUCCACCAUUCGCAGAAGGGGCUUUAGAGAGCGACUGAGCGUCUCGCUCAGGUGUACACCACCGUGCAGAGAUGGCAGCUCUCCUGGAGGUGUACCCAAGAAGCCCACCAUCUUUGCCGCCUCCGCCAUCCCAGAGGCGCCGAUUGGGCUGAGCUGCAAAUAACUAAGAGAGAGAGAGGCCAAGCCAAGUCGUGGCGUUUGUGUGCGGCACACGUCGUCAGCUGACACAGGCGGUCAGCUGAGCCUCCUCACCUCAGUUCGCAGCUAACAUGCUUCUUAGGCCUUCGGAAGAGGCGACAGGAGGCGAUGGCCGCGAGGUUGGGAGGGGGGUGAGCGGCGGGUGAGGUCCUCCAGGACCGCCCAUUUAUUGACUGGGUGGUACAGGAGGGCGAUGUUCGCUUACCCAACAACGACAGCAGGUGGAGUAGGCACUAAUGGAAAACUGUGGCCGGUGCCCUAAGCAGAAGGCAGGUGUAAAAAUCACUAGGACAUCAAAGGGAUAGUACCACAGUCAAAUCCCGCAAUGUCUGUCUACACUCUACCAAGCAAUUGUGCACCCUCCCCCUUUUCCAUUCAGUACUCCCAAGAAGGGUUGGGACGAACCCUGUGUCCACUGUAAAGCUCAGGGGAGAGCGGGAGCGAGGGAGGUGAAGUGCACAGACUGGGCAGAGGCGGCGGGCAGAACUGCGGGGGUGAGAGGGCGCGGUGGCUGCGGGGCGGGAGCCUCUGCUGAAAGGAGGCCUGGGUUGUCCUGUGGGUGACUGUUGGUGGAAUCUUUGGCAGCGAGUGGUUGGAAGAAUGGCGACGGGCGAGCAGAGGGGAAGGUGGUGACCCUGAGCGUCUGGCUAGGGGAGAGGAGGCUGUACUGACACUCGUCUCCUCUUACCUGGCGAGGGACAGACCGUGGUCAAGAAGGGAGCUCUCCCUGGUUGAGGCUAGUCCACCACACUCCAGCUGCUCUGACCCCUGCGAUUUCCCUACACGCGGGGCGCUUGUCUGCGGUGGUGUUUGCGCUACCCGGGGGCUGGGUUCACGCAGGCUCCUGACAGUCCUUGGCUCACCGCCCCCGACGCGGAUAUCGCCGCUAGAGACCCUUCCGCCACCCUCCUAGGGAUCUUGAGGGCCUUCCUUGUUGUUCCGACUGAAGCUCACGAACAGACAGAUGUGAGCUCUCUGUCUUUUACACGUUGAAUUUGGCUAUUGGCAAAAAAAGCCCUGACCCAGAGCUUGGGACUCCUCCCGGCCUGCACACGACUUCCCGACUCUUGCCUCCUAGCGCGGCUCUUGGCUAGCGGGCGGGCAGCCUCCACCCAGCGUAGAACCGCGGCAGCCGCAGCCCCCGCAGGCUGGCGGUCAGACACUAGCAGGAAAAGGGACACAAGGCCUGCGUGGUGGGAAAGCAUGGGAGACGUCGCUUUCCCACCAGGCGAGAAGGUCUCCCUACAGUCUUUGGACAGAAGAUGGAGGGAGGCACCCCUUCCAGGAGCAAGGCGGCUGCUCCUGAGGCCUGGCUCCGCACGGAGGCUCCUGGGUCCCGCGCGCCCUCUCCCUACCGGUUAUAGCCAGAGCUGCUUCACACAUCUCAGCCGGCUUCCUCUUCCGCCUCUGCCACCUCUUCCUCCCCAGCUCGUGGGAAAGACCUAGCCUCCUCUCCAACACUUGGAGAGGGAGUUGGAUGAACGUCUCCUAACCCCAGUAGGACAGAGAUCCUGAGGUAGGAGGGGACCCCUUGCCUUGCUGCUUCUUUUGGCACCGCUGACCCGGGCCCAGGACUCCUCGCUCCUCCUGGAAGGCCUGGGUCGUGUAGCCCACAGAGGUGGCCACGUGGGCAUCUCCCCCACUGCUCCUCAUAGAACCGGAGGCAUUAUCCUGCCGGGCCCACUCUUACCCAUGAAAGAAACUUGGGAAAUGCUCCCGGGGAAGCCGGGGAUCUGGGCGCUCGACCACUUCGGUGUGAAUCUUCCGUCCGCUCAUCCUUCCUUCGGAGGGUCUUGGGGAGAGGAGAAAUGCUCAAGGACGAUGCGCUUUGCAGCGUCUCAAGGGAAACUAGAUCUCAACGGAUACCAGAAGUCUGGAGCGUCUUCCUGGAGGAAGGCGGCCCGAGGCCUGCGGUUGCAGGGAGGCUUGCGGAGCACAGCGCCCUCUCUCAGCCUGAGCUAUCCAGUGGCUUCCAGCAUCCCAGCUGGCCGACUCCACUUCCUCUCUCUUCCUCCUACUGCGGGUCUUCUUCUUCUCUUUGGGGACCGAAUCUCGCUCUGUCGCCCAGGCUGGAGUGCAGUGGCGCGAUCUCGGCUUACUGCAACCUCCGCCUCCCGGGUUGAAGCGAUUCUCCUGCCUCAGCCUCCCGAAUAGCUGGGACUACAGGCGCGUGCCACCACGCCCGGCUAAUUUUUUGUAUUUUUAGUUGAGACGGGGUUUCACCCUGUUAGCCAGGAUGGUCUCGAUCUCCUGGCCUCUUGAUCCGCCCGCCUCGGCCUCCCAAAGUGCUGGGAUUACAGGCGUGAGCCUCCGCGCCCGGCCUACUGCGGCUCUUCUAUCCUGGUGUUCUUUGAAUGCCUAUCUUCCUUUUGUGCCACAGAACCUCUCACGCCCGCCACAGGUUGCUCAUUUCCUUGGUUGUUCUGAACUUUAAAUAAGUUAAUGUAUGUAAGAGUGCCAUAAAUGCUCAGUAAUUGACAUCUGUUAUUUUCAUCAGUAACAUCAUCUGAAUCAUCUGUAUUGUCUAUUUUUAACAACUGCAUUUUUCAUUGUCCAAAUAAAGUCACAUACAUUUGAACAUUAUAUAAUGAUUGAAUAAUAAAAUUAUUCUGCUAUUUUACAAUAAAAA
RNAcentral lists this transfer RNA (6113 nucleotides) under Homo sapiens (human). Its description in RNAcentral is "PREDICTED lncRNA (TCONS_00019557)". The record is from RNAcentral. Lineage: Eukaryota; Metazoa; Chordata; Mammalia; Primates; Hominidae.